RNAcentral lists this ribosomal RNA (458 nucleotides) under uncultured bacterium. Its description in RNAcentral is "partial 16S ribosomal RNA". It matches the Rfam family "Bacterial small subunit ribosomal RNA", at positions 28 to 507 of the family's 1533-position model. The record is from RNAcentral.
GAUAAACGCUGGCGGCGUGCAUGAGACAUGCGAGUCGAACGAAGGAUCGGGCUUGCUCGAUCCUUAGUGGCGGACGGCUGAGUAACGCGUAGGUGACCUACCCCGAAGUGGGGAAUAACUGCCCGAAAGGGUGGCUAAUACCGCAUGUGGUCGCACGUUCAUUCGUGCGAGUAAAGCCGCAAGGCGCUUCGGGAGGGGCCUGCGUCCGAUUAGCUCGUUGGUGGGGUAAUGGCUUACCAAGGCGACGAUCGGUAGGUGGUCUGAGAGGACGAUCACCCAGACUGGGACUGAGACACGGCCCAGACUCCUACGGGAGGCAGCAGUCGGGAAUUUUGCUCAAUGGGGGAAACCCUGAAGCAGCAACGCCGCGUGAGGGAUGAAGGCCUUCGGGUUGUAAACCUCUUCUGUCAGGGACGAUGAUGACGGUACCUGGCGAAUAAGCCACGGCUAACUACGUG